ACAACCAGCCUGAACUGAGAUACCAUUACACCAUGAGGACCACUGAGCCCUGGAAAGAAUCAUUGUCAGCCCCGAUUCUCCCUGCCCACAUCCUGUCUCCACCCUGCACAGCCGCCCACAACAUGUGUCCUCACCCUGCACAACCGCCCUCUUUGCUCAAUGUAGCAAAAUUUAUUAGAGAGGAGGAUAAAGAAACAUUGCAGAUGAAAAGCUGCUUAUGGCCACAAGGGGUCAUAAGUAGUGAAGAACAAACUUUUCAAACCUCUACUGUGAAAUUUUGCGUAUUUUAACCUUGAAGGAUCAAGAAGGAAACAAAGAUUUUUGAACCUCAUAAAAUAUUGCACAAAUAUUUUGCAUUGUAUUCAAUCAAAGGCUGGGUACACACUUAUAGAUAUAUCCGUUGAUCAAUUGAUCUGCAGCUAUAUCUACAGAUGGAUCAGGUAUUGUAUUCAAUCAAAGGUUGGGUACACACUUAUAGAUAUAUCUGUAGAGCAAUUGAUCUGCAGCUAUAUCUACAGAUGGAUCGGGUAGUGUGUUGUGCGUAUCACACUACCCAAUCCAUCGUUACUGAGGUCAUGAACUGGACGGGCAUUUGCAUGCACCAUCCCAGUCGCCGCCACUUGUGCAGUGAGUGUAUGGGUGGUUGGCUGACCGCCUGUACACACAGCACUGUAGAUAUAUUGUUCAUCAUCUGUGCUGCACAGCCGACACGAUAUGUCUAUGAACGAAGUUGUUCACAGACAUAUCGCUGGUACACACUGGCUGACGUACUAGCAAUAUAUCUGCCGUUCAAUUGAACGGGUGAUAUAUCGGCCAGUGUGUACCCAGCAUAAGUUUAUUUGCAAAUUGUGUGCAUGUUUAUGUAUUUACUAUUUUGAUAGUAUAAUUUUACUGUUACAUAUAUACCAGUGUUGUCCCUCCCUUAUAGACAAUUUGAGAGUAAAGGGUACAUUGCCAAUUUCAUACUUACUGUGACUAUCCUGUGAGAUGAAGCUGUGGUACUCUGUGAAACCACAAGACAUCAUAAAAAACGUACUUUGAACAAAAUGUCAUUACAAUUGCACGUCUAAUAAAUUAUUAUUUUUUAAAUGCA
This is a long non-coding RNA of Pseudophryne corroboree (corroboree frog), 1093 nucleotides long. RefSeq lists it as uncharacterized. NCBI's taxonomy places the organism in Eukaryota, Metazoa, Chordata, Amphibia, Anura, Myobatrachidae. The transcript is spliced from 2 exons. The record is from RefSeq and is a predicted model, not a curated record.